UACGGAGGGUGCAAGCGUUUGUCCGGAAUUAUUGGGCGUAAAGAGCUCGUAGGCGGUCUGUCGCGUCUGCUGUGAAAACCCGGAGCUCAACUCCGGGCCUGCAGUCGAUACGGGCGGACUUGAGUUCGGCAGGGGAGACUGGAAUUCCAGGUGUAGCGGUGAAAUGCGUAGAUAUCUGGAGGAACACCGGUGGCGAAGGCGGCAUCCUGGACCGAUACUGACGCUGAGGAGCGAAAGCCAGGGGAGCAAAGCGGG
RNAcentral lists this ribosomal RNA (255 nucleotides) under uncultured bacterium. RNAcentral's name for it is "partial 16S ribosomal RNA". It matches the Rfam family "Bacterial small subunit ribosomal RNA", at positions 524 to 777 of the family's 1533-position model. The record is from RNAcentral.